Molecule: ribosomal RNA, 1371 nt
Filed under: uncultured bacterium
Lineage: Bacteria
Description: bacterial SSU rRNA
Rfam family: Bacterial small subunit ribosomal RNA
Source: RNAcentral
GAUGAACGCUGGCGGCGUGCCUAAUACAUGCAAGUCGAGCGAACGGACGAGAAGCUUGCUUCUCUGAUGUUAGCGGCGGACGGGUGAGUAACACGUGGAUAACCUACCUAUAAGACUGGGAUAACUUCGGGAAACCGGAGCUAAUACCGGAUAAUAUUUUGAACCGCAUGGUUCAAAAGUGAAAGACGGUCUUGCUGUCACUUAUAGAUGGAUCCGCGCUGCAUUAGCUAGUUGGUAAGGUAACGGCUUACCAAGGCAACGAUGCAUAGCCGACCUGAGAGGGUGAUCGGCCACACUGGAACUGAGACACGGUCCAGACUCCUACGGGAGGCAGCAGUAGGGAAUCUUCCGCAAUGGGCGAAAGCCUGACGGAGCAACGCCGCGUGAGUGAUGAAGGUCUUCGGAUCGUAAAACUCUGUUAUUAGGGAAGAACAUAUGUGUAAGUAACUGUGCACAUCUUGACGGUACCUAUUCGGAAAGCCACGGCUAACUACGUGCCAGCAGCCGCGGUAAUACGUAGGUGGCAAGCGUUAUCCGGAAUUAUUGGGCGUAAAGCGCGCGUAGGCGGUUUUUUAAGUCUGAUGUGAAAGCCCACGGCUCAACCGUGGAGGGUCAUUGGAAACUGGAAAACUUGAGUGCAGAAGAGGAAAGUGGAAUUCCAUGUGUAGCGGUGAAAUGCGCAGAGAUAUGGAGGAACACCAGUGGCGAAGGCGACUUUCUGGUCUGUAACUGACGCUGAUGUGCGAAAGCGUGGGGAUCAAACAGGAUUAGAUACCCUGGUAGUCCACGCCGUAAACGAUGAGUGCUAAGUGUUAGGGGGUUUCCGCCCCUUAGUGCUGCAGCUAACGCAUUAAGCACUCCGCCUGGGAGUACGACCGCAAGGUUGAAACUCAAAGGAAUUGACGGGGACCCGCACAAGCGGUGGAGCAUGUGGUUUAAUUCGAAGCAACGCGAAGAACCUUACCAAAUCUUGACAUCCUUUGACAACUCUAGAGAUAGAGCCUUCCCCUUCGGGGGACAAAGUGACAGGUGGUGCAUGGUUGUCGUCAGCUCGUGUCGUGAGAUGUUGGGUUAAGUCCCGCAACGAGCGCAACCCUUAAGCUUAGUUGCCAUCAUUAAGUUGGGCACUCUAAGUUGACUGCCGGUGACAAACCGGAGGAAGGUGGGGAUGACGUCAAAUCAUCAUGCCCCUUAUGAUUUGGGCUACACACGUGCUACAAUGGACAAUACAAAGGGCAGCGAAACCGCGAGGUCAAGCAAAUCCCAUAAAGUUGUUCUCAGUUCGGAUUGUAGUCUGCAACUCGACUACAUGAAGCUGGAAUCGCUAGUAAUCGUAGAUCAGCAUGCUACGGUGAAUACGUUCCCGGGUCU